UCCCUGGCAGUUCAGUGGUUAGGAUUCCAUGCUUUCACUGUGAGGGCCCAGGUUCAAUCCCUGGUCAGGGAA
Molecule: transfer RNA, 72 nt
Filed under: Bos taurus (domestic cattle)
Lineage: Eukaryota; Metazoa; Chordata; Mammalia; Artiodactyla; Bovidae
Also listed under: 5 other names
Rfam family: tRNA
About the family: Transfer RNA (tRNA) molecules are approximately 80 nucleotides in length. Their secondary structure includes four short double-helical elements and three loops (D, anti-codon, and T loops).
Source: Rfam by way of RNAcentral